CAUAACUUCUCCAAGCUCCGCCCUCCUCUAACCUCCUUUCCAACUCCUGUGCUUUCUCCUUAGACAAAGCUCCCCAUCUAAUCCGCGGUUGACCCAGGGCGCCCCUCCUCUUCUUCUUCACCCAGAGAUCGACAUCCAUCACUAGAAGUCUAUGCAGAGUUGAAAGAGACUCUCCCGGAAUAACCUUGCAGUCCUUGCACAGACCCCUGUCGCUCCUUCUGAUGAGGAUGUAAUCAAUUUGAGUCCUCGCCGCCGAACU
This 259-nucleotide long non-coding RNA is filed under the name Nicotiana benthamiana. Its description in RNAcentral is "long non-coding RNA (NBEN_LNC019898)". The record is from RNAcentral. Lineage: Eukaryota; Viridiplantae; Streptophyta; Magnoliopsida; Solanales; Solanaceae.